GCAUAGGCUGGGACCUGACCAAGUCUCCCUGCUGAACAGAACUCUGGAGUCCAGAAGAACAAUACAUCCAUUCGAGAAAAUGUGGAAACUCCAGAAAAAGCACAGAGGAGAGGGGAACCAACCUUGAGCUCCCCACCACCUUUCCAGUCUUUUCGCAGACAGCCCUGGGGCUCCAGGGCAGCGGGAGCACGGUAGCUGGAAACUGGUGAAACUGGUGAAACUCUGUGGUUUCUGGCAGAUGGAUCAAGCCCACUUGGACCUGGCUCCUCUGUCCAUGACAUUUUCCAGGCAAGAAUACUAGAGUGAGUAGCCAUUCCCUUCUCCAGUGGAUCUUCCCGACCCAGGGAUCGAACCCAUGUCUCCUGCAUUGGCAGGCGUGUUCUUUACUGCGGAGACAAUACUCACCAACACCUAACUGAAUGAUUGAUCCUUGGCUUCUAGGACCUUCAGAACACGGGCUCAGAACGCUGACUCAGUAGUUGUGGUGCACAGGCUUACGUGCUCGGAGGCAUGUGGGAUCUUCGUGGGACCAAGGAUCGAACCAGUGUUCCCUGCAAGGCGGACUCUUUAAUCACUGGAACGCUAGGAAAGCCCCUUCAUGAUGUCUUUUGAUGAGAAGUUCUUAAUGUAGUCCAAUUUAUCAACUUCUUUCCUUUAUAAUGUUCAGCACCUUUCAUACUUAUUUUUUAAAAAGACCUUCAAAAAAAUGAAAAAAUGAAUGCCCUGGCAGUCCAGUGUUUAGGACUUGGUGCUUUUCUGGCUGUGGCCCAAGUUCAAUCCCUGUUUGGUAAACUAAGGUCCCAUAAACUGCAUACCACAGCCAAGAAAUGGACAAAAACUUUACAUGUUCUGAGGUUAUAAGCCCGUUUCCUUCUAUAAGUUUUAUUAUUUUACCUUUCACAUUAAGCUCUUCAAUUUACCUGGAAUUGAUUUUUUUUUUUUUGUAUGGUGUGAGGUUUGUUUUUCACCCUUACAGGGAGCCAUUGUCCCAGGGCCAGUGGUGGAAAAGACCAUCCUUUCUCUGCUUCAAGGCAUUGUCUGAUA
Molecule: long non-coding RNA, 1044 nt
Organism: Bos taurus (domestic cattle)
Lineage: Eukaryota; Metazoa; Chordata; Mammalia; Artiodactyla; Bovidae
Source: Ensembl